RNAcentral lists this ribosomal RNA (859 nucleotides) under uncultured bacterium. RNAcentral describes it as "bacterial SSU rRNA". It matches the Rfam family "Bacterial small subunit ribosomal RNA", at positions 58 to 916 of the family's 1533-position model. The record is from RNAcentral.
CAAGUCGAGGGGUAAAUAUGGUAGCAAUAUCGUAUGAGACCGGCGCACGGGUGCGUAACACGUAUACAAUCUGCCCGUAACUGGGGCAUAGCCCGGAGAAAUCCGGAUUAAUACCCCAUAUUAUAAGGACAUGGCAUCAUGAUCUUAUCAAAGCUCCGGCGGUUACGGAUGAGUAUGCGCAACAUUAGCUAGUUGGUGAGGUAAUGGCUCACCAAGGCGACGAUGUUUAGGGGGUCUGAGAGGAUGAUCCCCCACACUGGUACUGAGACACGGAUCAGACUCCUACGGGAGGCAGCAGUAGGGAAUAUUGGUCAAUGGACGCAAGUCUGAACCAGCCAUGCCGCGUGCAGGAAGAAGGUCCUAUGGAUUGUAAACUGCUUUUCUACGGGAAGAAACCCCUGGAUGCGUCCGGGGCUGACGGUACCGUAGGAAUAAGGAUCGGCUAACUCCGUGCCAGCAGCCGCGGUAAGACGGAGGAUCCAAGCGUUGUCCGGAUUUACUGGGUUUAAAGGGUGCGUAGGCGGAUGACUAAGUCAGUGGUGAAAGCCUGUAGCUUAACUACAGAAGUGCCACUGAAACUGGUUGUUUUGAGUACGGUUGAGGUUGUUGGAAUGCAUCAUGUAGCGGUGAAAUGCUUAGAUAUGAUACAGAACACCAAUUGCGAAGGCAGACAACUAAGCCGUAACUGACGCUGAGGCACGAAAGCGUGGGGAGCAAACAGGAUUAGAUACCCUGGUAGUCCACGCUGUAAACGUUGAUUACUCGCUGCUGGCGAUACACAGUCAGCGGCUAAGCGAAAGCGUUAAGUAAUCCACCUGGGAAGUACGAUCGCAAGAUUGAAACUCAAAGGAAUUGACGG